RNAcentral lists this ribosomal RNA (505 nucleotides) under Salmonella enterica subsp. enterica serovar Eko. Its description in RNAcentral is "partial 23S ribosomal RNA". It matches the Rfam family "Bacterial large subunit ribosomal RNA", at positions 2218 to 2722 of the family's 2925-position model. Lineage: Bacteria; Pseudomonadati; Pseudomonadota; Gammaproteobacteria; Enterobacterales; Enterobacteriaceae. The record is from RNAcentral.
UGUUCUAACGUGGACCCGUGAUCCGGGUUGCGGACAGUGUCUGGUGGGUAGUUUGACUGGGGCGGUCUCCUCCUAAAGAGUAACGGAGGAGCACGAAGGUUGGCUAAUCCUGGUCGGACAUCAGGAGGUUAGUGCAAUGGCAUAAGCCAGCUUGACUGCGAGCGUGACGGCGCGAGCAGGUGCGAAAGCAGGUCAUAGUGAUCCGGUGGUUCUGAAUGGAAGGGCCAUCGCUCAACGGAUAAAAGGUACUCCGGGGAUAACAGGCUGAUACCGCCCAAGAGUUCAUAUCGACGGCGGUGUUUGGCACCUCGAUGUCGGCUCAUCACAUCCUGGGGCUGAAGUAGGUCCCAAGGGUAUGGCUGUUCGCCAUUUAAAGUGGUACGCGAGCUGGGUUUAGAACGUCGUGAGACAGUUCGGUCCCUAUCUGCCGUGGGCGCUGGAGAACUGAGGGGGGCUGCUCCUAGUACGAGAGGACCGGAGUGGACGCAUCACUGGUGUUCGGGUU